GGGAGCUCUCCCUUUCCCUUCUUCUCCACCCUCCACCUCUGACACGUGGCCACCGCCUCAGCUCUGUCCACUAUAACCAUUCAGAGAUUGGCUGGUGUGGGAGAAGGGCUCAAGGAGAUGGGGGCUGGAUUUGACCACAGAAGCAAGCUGUCACCCCACUAAACGAGGGGAUGGAAGGUUGUGAGACACCCAACAGCCCAUAGUACGGGGCCCAGAUGGCUGGCCCAGCCCAAAUCCCAGGAAUCAUUCCAAAGAUCCAGUGACCCAAAUUCUGAAUAUUGAAGAUGAUCUUCAGGGGAAAAGGGCACUGGAUCCAGAAGGCACCAAUCAAACUCAAGAGUGUACUCUGCGAAGAAACCUGCCUAAGUCACCUACUCUCAGGAAAAAUCCUCAACACAAAUGGCAACCACAUCCAAAUGCCAUGCAGGUCUGCAGCUAAGGUGCAAGCUGGAGGGGAUGACUCUGCUUCAGAAUAUGGGAGGGGGAGGAUUUCCUCAGCAGAAGCACUUAGGUAAGAGAAAUGACAAAUUAAUUAACUUGUCAAAUUCUUACUUUCACAAAGCUUGAAUGCAAUGGAUUUUAACAUAACAAGACACCAUUUCCUGGCAGUGCCAAGUAUGCAUUUACUUGCUUCUCUUCUUUCUCCAACUGGGGAUUCCGAAGGUACUCACACACUAACGUGGCAUUCAGAACAGUUACACAUGGCUGCUAAUGUGUAUCGCUCUGGUAUUUGAAUAUAUACGCGGGUCUCUAUGUAACAUGAGUGAAGUACGAUACUGAUUCUUUACAUUGACGGCUAGAUGGACAUUUAAUAAUGGGGCGGCAAAUAGUUGUUUUUAACAAAAAUAUAUGACAAGAUUUAUAUUUAAAA
Molecule: non-coding RNA, 871 nt
Organism: Kogia breviceps (pygmy sperm whale)
Lineage: Eukaryota; Metazoa; Chordata; Mammalia; Artiodactyla; Physeteridae
Source: RefSeq, a predicted model, not a curated record